This 339-nucleotide ribosomal RNA is filed under the name Triticum aestivum (bread wheat). RNAcentral's name for it is "partial small subunit ribosomal RNA". Lineage: Eukaryota; Viridiplantae; Streptophyta; Magnoliopsida; Poales; Poaceae. The record is from RNAcentral.
AUGAAGAGAAGCAGUAUUCCUAGCAUCCUGCUGAUGCUUUCACUGGGGGCAGCUCUCCUCGUCGCCGACGACGUGGGCGCCAUUCUCCUGCCAAGCCAAGAUAAAGGAGUUGCAGACCAAGUGGCCAUGGCGGCGCCCAGGCCGUGGAAGUGCUGCGACGUGACCAUCUGCACCAGGUCGAUCCCGCCGACGUGCAGCUGCCAGGACGUGGUCGACAACUGUGCUCCAACCUGCGAGGACUGCAAUGGUUAUGUACACCCACCCCGCCGUGUUUGCCUAGACCGCUACACCGGCGACCCCGGGCCUAGGUGCACGGGCGCCGGCACCGGCGGUAACUGA